GUUGCUUCUUGAUCUUUUGGCUAAGAUCAGUUGUAGUAUCUCUUCUUAUCAGUUUAAUAUCUGAUAGUGUUCUAUCUGAGGACAAUAUCUUAAAUGGAGUUUUGAACCAGGGAGAUGGCACAGGAGCUUGCUUUGUCCACUCCACACAUCGACCUGGUUUUGCAGUGCCUCCAAGAAUGGUGUACUCCUU
This 190-nucleotide small nuclear RNA is filed under the name Castor canadensis (American beaver). Its description in RNAcentral is "U2 spliceosomal RNA (ENSCCNG00000004785.1)". It matches the Rfam family "U2 spliceosomal RNA". Rfam says of the family: U2 is a small nuclear RNA (snRNA) component of the spliceosome (involved in pre-mRNA splicing). Complementary binding between U2 snRNA (in an area lying towards the 5' end but 3' to hairpin I) and the branchpoint sequence (BPS) of the intron results the bulging out of an unpaired adenosine, on the BPS, which initiates a nucleophilic attack at the intronic 5' splice site, thus starting the first of two transesterification reactions that mediate splicing. Lineage: Eukaryota; Metazoa; Chordata; Mammalia; Rodentia; Castoridae. The record is from Rfam by way of RNAcentral.